AUGCUAGCAUGAUUCCGCCUUUAAUUGUUAAUUGCAUGCUUAUAGAUGUUGCUCAAAGGAACAUGUUUUCACAAAAUCUUCCUUCAAGUGGUAUCAGAGCCUAGGUCUAGUAGUUGGUGAAUCCUUUUGGGUUUUGUAUUUCAUAGUUUUGAUUUAAAAGUUGUAAUAUGUUACAAGCUUUAUUCUUGUUUCUUUGAAUGUAAAUUUUGUUAGAAAAUUUACCAUCUCAAAUGUUGUAGAUGUAGUUCAUAUGAGCAUGAAUAUUAGAGCUAAAAUUUGGUGCCAAGUUUUUGGGGAUUUUCGGCCAAAUCCAAAGGGUGUUUUUUUGGGUUCUUGUUUGACUUGUUAAAAGUGUUUUAAGGUGACUUUUGGAACCCCUAAGUACCCUAGGAUGUUAGCCCCAUUUUGAAUGGUGAAAAUUAGAGUUUUAUUGCUUGAAAACAUUCAUGGAGCUCUUAUGGGUUUUCAUGGAUGUUCUUUAUUGUUCUUGAUGUUCUUCCCAAGAACAAAAAGGUUUGAUGUUUUGAUUUAUUUCAUAAAGUCUUUGUUUUGUGUUGGUGGGUGUGACUUAUCUAUCAUCAAAACAUUUAUUAUUUUUGAAAGGUGAUAGAAAUGGUGAUGGGUGUGUAAGAAGGACUUCUCUUACACACACACCACUUGCAUGGCACCACUUGCAUGGCUUUAUUCACAUCAACCUAUUUCCACUUGCAUGGCUUUAUGACUUAGUUGAAAAAUUUCCAAAUUUUUGUGGAGUUAUCUCCACCUUUUUCUCCCUAAAACCGGCCACCCUAUUAAAAUAGAGUAUUUUUAGGGCUUUUAUGCAAUUACAUAAAGUUUUGAUACUUUUGUGUAUUUGUAUUUUGACCCGAAAGUUUACGUUUUGACGUUAAGGCCUAAAAGCGCUAAAGGACAAAUUGUUUUGCUCCUUUAAUGAAGUUUUGAAUUUAUUGAAAUUUUUGGGUUCUAGUUGUAAUUACAUGAACUAGUGGACUUUUGUGUUUUUACAAAGUGACCCCAAAAGUUUGUGUUUUUGCAAUAUAGCCCAAAAGUUGUGGUAAUUGUAUUUUGGCCCAAAUUAGGUUGAGAACAAAAUUGUUUUGCCUCUUUAAAUGAGAAUUGGAUUUUCAUUUUAUUUAGCUCCAUUUAAAUGAAUUUUAUGGAUACAAAAACCAAAUGAAAAUGUUGCAUUCAAUUUAAUUAGUUAAAGUGUUAAUUAAUUAAAGGGUGAUUAUUAACCUAAGCCUACGAUAAUUGAGCUAUGUGAAAGGCCGUUUCAAAUUUGUUUGAACCAUGGGAAUGUGUAGAUUAAAUUUUGGUUGUAAUUUGAUUUGAUCAAAUGUUGUAAAAGAGCUUAAGCUCUUCUUUACUUUAAAGUAAUUUGAAUUGUUCAAAUGUUGUAAUGAGCAUAAGCUCACCUUUACUUUGAAGUACUUCUUUCUUGCUUUAUUUGAUAUGCAUGAAAAUGAAGUAGUUGGGUCCAAUGCCCCUAAGACAACACGCCUUAAUGUGAUUAAACGCGUAACUAAAAUCUGUUGGAAAUGUGCCCUAAAACCAAUCAUGUGAUGAUACUUUACGGACAUUUCACAUGUUAAACUAAUCUAGUUUAAUAUAAAGGGCAAAGAUUAUUGUUUGAGCCGUCUCAUAUAAAUGUUAUAUGCUUAAACGAUAAAGUCCAAGGAAUAUGUGAUUGGAAGAAUGUAAUCUAAUGAAGUUAGAUUCAUGAGACCAUUCUUUCGUAGACACAUCCUAAAUGUUCCUGAUCAUAGGAUUGCCAAUUGGGCAUUGACAGUCCGUCAAGAUCGGUACGUGCUAUGUCUUCUCUCAGGGAGAGUGACUAGUCUCGAGUCAUUGGUGUGUGUGACAUCAAGACAAGUACGUAGGUGCUCAGUAGAGAAUGAGUUCACUGAACGUGAUCAACGAAGAGUUCUCAUACUCAUGUCACAUGAGAACUCAUGUUUGGGAUAAUGCAAAUUAGUCCUUUGACCUGAGGCAUCACAGUUGUCUUGUGGUUAAGUCCUUGAUCUUUGAUUAUGUCAAAGUCACCCCAUCGGGGUGUCCACGGCAUCGUUGGGGUUAAGCCACUUAGUCAUGGAGGCAAGUGAAUGCGCAACAAGGGAUCUCUAACCUUCAAACCGUUUGAGGGAGAAUACUCUAUGAUAUGAUUUAGAAUCUCUGGCCAGAGUAUGAAUGAGAUUUAGAAAAGUCGUUCUAAAUCACAUUCAAGGAAAUCAUAUAAGCACACGAAUCACAUUGGAUAGUAGACAUGAAUAAAUAAACUAUCAAACCAAACAAUGUGGUCAAGAGUAUUAGAUUAGAGAAAGACCGUAUUGCAUUUGUAAUCCCAAACUGAAUAGGUUUUCUCUACCUCUUCUGAUUAGCUUGGGUAACCAUGAUAUGCUGCUAGGUGUCACUCAUGGUUUGUGGAAGCCCUAAACGUGUGUAAUCACUAAAGGGAGAAUUGAAAGUAAGUUUCAAUUCACAAUCGAUUUGAAAUGGUUUUAAUCGCCCACUGCCUCGCUAAAAGGAACCUAAUGGAUCGCACACCAUAAGAGGUGGAGAUUGGAGAUUAAACGGAGAUGAGUAAGAAUGAUUAAAUGGUUUAAUCAUUUAUUUAUGGCAAGGAUUAAUUAAUAUGUUAAUUAAUCAAACGAAUAAGUUCGUUAAAGACCUCGGGAUAGGUUUUGGACCUUAAGGCCCAAUGGGCUUCGAACGUCAAGCCCAUUGACUUAAGUUGUAUGACAACUUAAUGAAUAAUGAUUCACUAAGACCCAAAAGCCCAAACAAACCCCAUGGCCGGCCAUUUAGAGGAAGGGUAGUGAACUUGCUUUAAUUACAAGUUUGCCACUCAAAUGAAUAAAGGUAUAAAUAUGACUUUAUAGCCUUUUAUUCAUUAGGGUUUCUUUUAGAGAAAAUUGGUGAGAACUUGUCUCUCCAUUUUCUCUCUAGGAGGCCGGCCCCUUGGGGGUGCAUCUUGCAAUCCCACUACUCCAAGGUCACUCAUUUCUUCUCCAAUCUCUCCUUGGUGAAGAGACUUAGAGGUUCCCUAUUUUGGGAACUUGGAGAAACCUAUUCUUCCAUCCAAAAAUCCAUAGAUUUAAGAUGCAAGGAAUGAAGGCCCUCUCUUUGGGUGAUUAGCCUUUGCUUAUGCAAAAAGAGGAAUCUACAAAGGUAUAAAUUCUCAACUCACUUUGUUUUGAGUUGAUUAAUGGUUCACCAAUCUACUAGGCUUUGAAUUUCUUGGUUAAUGUUUUGUUUUUAAGUGCAUGCUAGCAUGAUUCCGCCUUUAAUUGUUAAUUGCAUGCUUAUAGAUGUUGCUUAAAUGAACAUGUUUUCACAAAAUUUCCUUCAAGUGGUAUCAGAGCCUAGGUCUAGUAGUUGGUGAAUCCUUUUGGGUUUUGUAGUUCAUAGUUUGUGAUUUAAAAGUUGUAAUAUGUUACAAGCUUUAUUCUUGCUUCUUUGAAUGUAAAUUUUGUUAGAAAAUUUGCCAUCUCAAAUGUUGUAGAUGUAGUUCAUAUGAGCAUGAAUAUUGGAGCUAAAAUUUGGUGCCAUGACUUUGGGGAUUUUCGGCCAAAUCCAAAGGGUGGAUUUUUGGGUUCUUGUUUGACUUGUUAAAAGUGUUUUCAAGUGACUUUUGGAACCCCUAUGUACCCUAGUUUGGUUAGAUGUUAUUUCCCUAAAGUUUGAAUGGUUUUGGAAUGUUUUUGGGUGAAAAAUGUUCAUGGAAAAAUUUUGGGUUUUUCAUGAAUGUUCUUCAUUGUUCUUGACAUUUUUGCCAAGAACAAAAAGGUUUGGUGUUUUGAUUCAAAGUUUUGAUUUAUUUCAUAAAGUUUUGUUUUGUGUUGAUUGGUGUGAAAUAUUAUCAUCAAAAACAUUUAUAUUUUUGAAAGGUGAUAGAAAUUGUGAUGGGUGUGUAAGGAUUAAUUACACACCUUACACACCUUACAAACCACUUGCAUGUAUUUAUGUCACAAACCACUUGCAAGGCUUUAUGAAUUUGUUGAAAAAAAUAUUUCAAAAUUUUGUGGACUAACACUCCAAAACCGGGCCACCCUAUUAGUGGGGUACUUUUGGGUCUUUUAUGCAAUUACAUAAAGUUUUGAUACUUUUGUGUAUUUGCACUUUGGCCCAAAAGUUUACGUUUUUACGUUUAGGUCCAAAAACGCUAAAGGACAAAUUGUUUUGCUCCUUUAAUGAAGUUUUUGCAUUGAUUAAAUUUUGGGUUCUAUUGUAAUUACAUGAAGUAGUGGACUUUUGUGUCUUUACAAAGUGACCCCAAAAGUUUUGCAAUAUAGCCCAAAAGUUGAGGUUAAUUGCUUUAUGGCCCAAAAAGUUGUGGUUAUUGCAUGAUGGCCCAAAUUAGGUUGAGAACAAAAUUGUUUUUUGUCUCUUUAAAUGAGAAUUGGAUUUUCAUUUUGUUUAGCUCCAUUUAAAUCAAUUUUAUGGAUACAAAAACCAAAUGAAAAUGUUGCAUUCAAUUUAAUUAGUUAAAGUGUUAAUUAAUUAAAGGGUGAUUAUGAACCUAAGCCUAAUAUAAUUGAGCUAUGUGAAUAGGCCGUUUCAAAUUUGUUUGAACCAUGGGAAUGUGUAGAUUAGAUUUUGGUUGUAAUUUGAUUUGAUCAAAUGUUGUAAAAGGGCUUAAGCUCUUCUUUACUUUAAAGUAAUUUGUUUUAUGCAAAUGUUGUAAUGAGCAUAAGCUCACCUUUACUUUGAAGUACUUCUUUCUUGCU
Molecule: long non-coding RNA, 4727 nt
Filed under: Malus domestica (apple)
Lineage: Eukaryota; Viridiplantae; Streptophyta; Magnoliopsida; Rosales; Rosaceae
Description: long non-coding RNA (MDOM_LNC005768)
Source: RNAcentral